GUAGCUGGUCUGAGAGGAUGAUCAGCCACACUGGAACUGAGACACGGUCCAGACUCCUACGGGAGGCAGCAGUGGGGAAUUUUGGACAAUGGGGGCAACCCUGAUCCAGCCAUUCCGCGUGAGUGAAGAAGGCCUUCGGGUUGUAAAGCUCUUUCGGCAGGAACGAAACGGUGGGGGCUAAUACCCUCCGCUAAUGACGGUACCUGAAGAAGAAGCACCGGCUAACUACGUGCCAGCAGCCGCGGUAAUACGUAGGGUGCGAGCGUUAAUCGGAAUUACUGGGCGUAAAGCGUGCGCAGGCGGUUCUAUAAGACAGAUGUGAAAUCCCCGGGCUUAACCUGGGAACUGCGUUUGUGACUGUAGGACUCGAGUGUGGCAGAGGGGGGUGGAAUUCCACGUGUAGCAGUGAAAUGCGUAGAGAUGUGGAGGAACACCGAUGGCGAAGGCAGCCCCCUGGGUCAACACUGACGCUCAUGCACGAAAGCGUGGGUAGCAAACAGGAUUAGAUACCCUGGUAGUCCACGCCCUAAACGAUGCGAACUAGGUGUUGGGGAAGGAGACUUUCUUAGUACCGCAGCUAACGCGUGAAGUUCGCCGCCUGGGGAGUACGGUCGCAAGAUUAAAACUCAAAGGAAUUGACGGGGACCCGCACAAGCGGUGGAUGAUGUGGAUUAAUUCGAUGCAACGCGAAAAACCUUACCUACCCUUGACAUGCCAGGAACUUGCCAGAGAUGGCUUGGUGCCCGAAAGGGAGCCUGGACACAGGUGCUGCAUGGCUGUCGUCAGCUCGUGUCGUGAGAUGUUGGGUUAAGUCCCGCAACGAGCGCAACCCUUGUCAUUAGUUGCCAUCAUUUAGUUGGGCACUCUAAUGAGACUGCCGGUGACAAACCGGAGGAAGGUGGGGAUGACGUCAAGUCCUCAUGGCCCUUAUGGGUAGGGCUUCACACGUCAUACGAUGGUCGGUACAGAGGGUUGCCAAGCCGCGAGGUGGAGCCAAUCCCAGAAAGCCGAUCGUAGUCCGGAUCGGAGUCUGCAACUCGACUCCGUGAAGUCGGAAUCGCUAGUAAUCGUGGAUCAGCAUGUCACGGUGAAUACGUUCCCGGGUCUUGUACACACCGCCCGUCACACCAUGGGAGUGGGUUUCACCAGAAGUAGGUAGCCUAACCGCAAGGGGGGCGCUUACCACGGUGGGAUUCAUGACUGGGGUGAAGUCGUAACAAGGUA
RNAcentral lists this ribosomal RNA (1224 nucleotides) under metagenome. RNAcentral describes it as "bacterial SSU rRNA". It matches the Rfam family "Bacterial small subunit ribosomal RNA", at positions 283 to 1498 of the family's 1533-position model. The record is from RNAcentral.